CUCGCAUGGGAUCGGUGGACUGACCGAUGUCUCUCGCGGGAGGUAAACGAUCUUACCAGACCAACGACGUUACUCAGGAAUUAAGCAUGAGCUUCAGUAAACUGUAAUUCCGGGCACACUGAGCUUUGCGAGACCAUAAUGCAUUCAUCCCUACAUUGUUGGUGGUUAUAGAUCAAUCGCAAUUAUGCAAUCGAGUUUUGCUGCCUGUUCCCGGCGCAACGGUAAAAAGAAAAAAAAUCAUACGUCGAUGAUUACAGGUUGCAGAGAAAGAAAAACGUAAUUCGAAAGGAUGAAUGUUACGUAGGGGAGAACAUCAAUUAUUUGCUUAAAAUAUGUAGAAUCUAUUAUAGGGAAAUAUGCAUGUUCAGCGAUAGAUGCAGCUAUCGAAGAAUUUGGAAAAACAAAAGCAAUGGAAAGGCAGUAUUGAGAAAAGAGAAACUUGUGAGAAGGUUUAAGCUGUGCAUUGUUACAUUGCAAAUGUAACGUAAAAUUACGUGUAACGUGCUAACUUAUCUUCAUAUAGUUUAUCAAUCAAAUUAGUUUACAACUAAAACUUAUUUACACCUGGAAGUAAAGUAAUUUAAACAAAUAUAUUUUUGCGAGUAGGAAGUACUUUCUGCACGCGAUUUUCUACGUUGUCCUACCGAUUACAUCAUGUGAACAAACAAAUUGCUGAUACUAUAUUUGGACCACACGUAGCAAUCCCUACGAGCCUUAAUACAUUGCAUGCAACACUGAUAUAUACGUAAACGAAGCAGAAGCUUUCAUUACCUGCGUACUUUUUAUGGUAAGCAUUAUAUCGAGCGUGUAUAUGGUACAGAGACGGUAGAAUAUAGUUGCAUUGUAAAUUGUUUACAUAGUCAGCUUUGAAAUUCACUUGAGACACGUUUAAUAUCCAUGAGAAAUUUUAUAUGUAUAAGAAUGGCUCUUAUGCUGGUGAAUCUCUUCGGAGAAAGAUCCAUCAUUUUCCUAGCCAUGAUCGUCAAUCUCUUUUGCGACCUCACAGUCACCAAUAAAAAAGUUCGACAGUGACUGGGCGUCAUAUUGUAGCAGGCAGACGCGUAGACGGUGUCCCCGUGAUUUACUGUGGAAAUUAACUACAGCUGAAUUCUAUGCAUGGCAUAAAAACGAAUCUUCCUCCUAAAACAAUUUAAUUUAAAAAUAAGUUUGUAGAAAUGCAAGUACAAAAUUCUUUAGGUGCAUGGAACGCACCAUCCGUUGGUGCUGCAAUUUAUCUGAGACUAAGACAGAUUAUUCCGCAGACAAGAUAUAGUCUGGAGAAUAUGAUAAGUUUCGCGCUGAGAUACUCUCUGGCGAAGUAGAAGACAAAUGCUUCCAGCGUAAUCGCGACGUAAAAUAAGAUGAAUUUCGUUAAUAUCGCUCUUCCUUGCUUGUUGCCGAUGAUCUAAAUGAAACGGACACAUGAUUACAAGAUGGAUUAAAGGAAGAAGUCUUAACGAGAUAAUCGUUGUUUAUUCAGAUUAAAAUAAUUCACAAUUUUUACUAACGAUGAUUAUCAUGGAUCCUAGACAACAGAUAACCAAGACAAUAUUAGAAGAACUGUAUUAGUGCAUAGAAGAUUGAAGAGAUCUUCGAUAUUAUCAGACAACGUAAUGAUACUUUUGUGUCUUGAGGAUCUUAAGUAAGGACUUUAAACUUCGAUGAGGAGUUCUGAUAACUUUUUGAAGAUACUUUCAUCAAACAUUGCCGUACUAUGUCAAUACUGUAAUGACUACUCACAUGAAGAAUCUACAAGAAGAUCAAUUUUAUUAGUAAAACAUAAAUUAAAAUUAAGCGACCGAAUUUUAUUGCAAAAUGUAAGGAACGCUUUUAAAUUAUCAUAAGAUAGCAAGCGAAAGACUGAUUAGAACUUACCAAUGUAACGGCAAAAGCAUUAAUCAUCGUGACUAGAAACGAGAGAGAUAAUUCGUGGAGAAAUUAAACUAUUACCGUAAUCUUGAAUGGAGGAUUAAUUAACUUCAAAAGAGAAUUCCAUUCUGACGAGAAGAUCGAAUCUGGUCCCGCAAGGAUCGUUUUUCGUUCUUCGUGAAGCAUCUUAGGAAGCUUCUUAGGGCGUAACCGACAGCAUUGAUAGACAUUAAAAUGUUAGAGCACCGACGCGACAGAUUGGCAUAAAUUAUUAUCAGAUACGUAAUUCGGCAGUGAUGUAUUCUUUCCAAUCCUCCGUCUAUCUUUGCCAGAAUCUCGUAGAAUAAUAUACAUAAGAAACUUUUGAAGUAUGGAAAAUUGACACGUUUGGUGUGACCGUACGUACAUCUUUACGUCUUCUACAUUUAUGCGUUGUUGUGAACGGAAACUGUUACCGCUUGAAUAAAUAUCAGAUUCGAGAUAGGAAAGGGGCUUGCAUUGCUGCAGGGAAUGUGAAUAUUUCACGAAAGUAAGCGCUUCAACAUAUAUUAAAAAAAAGCAUAUUAGAAAUAUAAUAUCGAAAAUGGAUUUUUGUGUGGAAUGAAAUAGGGAUAACGUUCUCAUUUUCCUGUCCUCGUAUCUGUAGCCAUUAAUUUAAUGAAUAAAUGUAAUGUAAAAGAAUAACGAGAGCAGUGAGGCAUGAUAACAUUCUAUCGUAUCACGCGAUGUUAUUACAUCGAAGAACACACUUUAAUGUGUGCACGCGUUGAAUCAUGCUUUGUUGGCUGUGCUUUUACUGGCGAUUCAAAGGCUGAUCAACUUCAAAAACGCUAUACUGUAUGCCAGAGUAUACUCAGAUUAUACUGUAUGCUCGGAUCGUCUAUAAGCAUCGAAAAAUCGUUCGAUGUUGUACAUGUACUGAAAAUACUUCACUACUAGCACUGACGUCAUAUAGACGAAUCACCGAAAAUUGUCAUAAGGCGAACCCGGCCACAUGCUGAUAAAUCAUAAGCCUAUCUCUCAACCGAGGAACAGUUGUCAUACGUGUUAUGGUCAUCACGUUUCACGGUAAUCCUUGCGAGACAUCUCACUGGAUCAUCCAGCAGCGGCUGAAUGAUGCGUAUUGCGAAACAUGCACGUCGAUUGAUCUAAUAUACGUUGCGUGAUAACGAUAAGAGAAUUGGUCGUUCGCAUGAGGGAUGAUAAAAUGUAUGUCCUCUGAAAUGGCAAUUUAUCAAACGUACUUACGCGUUGAGCGAUCAACCGUGUUCGCCUUUCAAAGAUUGUAAUUUUGGAGGCAGAAAACGAUCAAAAGGUAUCCGUCCAUAUUACUUUGCGCGAUAGCGAACAAUUUCCUUUAAAAAUUCAGAACUUUCACCAAGUGUAUAUCACGUUUAUCCAUAUCUAACGAUCUAUAAUAUCCAUAAUGUCGCCGAGAAAAAAUAUUUCAGCUAUGAAAAGAAAUGUCUUGAAAUAAAAAGAAGGAGAAAUGAAGGGAAUGAAAGUGAACGCGUAGACUGGCGAGGAUUAAAGAUAUUGGUAGAGCAAGAUUUAUAGAAGUGUGCCGAAGAGAGAAUUCAAGUUGGAACUUACUUUUGUGAAAUCUUCCAAGGAUAAAUCCAUGAUUUUAGUUAAGAUCAAGGAUUAUCAAAUAGAUAUUGAUCUUACCUAUAAGAUAUUCUCCAUUAACAAAGCAAAAAAUGAAGACUUCCACUACUAAGCAAUCAUACUUUUUACCAAGAUAACCAUCUCUGCGCCAUUAUACACGGACUGUUUCAUUGAGUAACAGAGGCGAAUAAGUUUCUUUGAAUUCAAUUUCGCAUUAAUCUCACAGAUAUGCAGACAUACUUAUUAUCACAAUGAGAAAUUCCAAGCCAGCAUUACUACGGUAUUUCAAAUGAGCUGCAUUAAUGCGAUAAAGGAGAAAAGUUCUUCGAUAUCCUUCAUAGAAGGGAAUGAUUUUGCUGCAUCUUUUCAGUAUUGACCGCAAAUGUGGAGAAUCCGUAAGCGAGAGUUUUUACGGGAACUUUUAUAAACUCUCGACACAUCAUAUCGAUUUGACCUCUUAUAUUAGCUCCUCAUAUUCGUGUUACACGUUCCAUAAUUCUGCGUGACAGAUAUUUAAUCUCAUUCUUCGAAUGGCGGAUUUCAACAAAACUAAAAUCACGAAGCGGCGCAACGGUUUAUCAGCGAUGCAUCCAACGUCUGCUCAACUUGAAAAACGUCAAACUAUAAUUGAGAGUCAUGGUCAAGUCAUCCAUGAAAUUGGACAGGAGCCCCAAAAUGCAUGAUUGUAUACUGAUAAUACUGUAUGAUCAAUAUGCUCGACACGUAUAUGAGCGAAUGAACGGUCGAAUGCGGCAACUCUGGCCACACGCCGAGCAAUGUAAGACCCAUUUUGAGUGGUGGACUUAUGGCAUUCCCGUUCACUAUUCCACACGGUAACUCGGAAUCCAGAAGAAGCUAAGCGCGACAGAACAGAGAGAACUUGGAAUUGCAUUAACAAUUCCUGAUACACGGGAGCACGAAGAUCAGUAUCGGCGCAUUCUGAGCUACUCUGCAUAAUACACUGAAAUUACCUGGCGAUCCUCCAGCGCUCAACAUGGUCCACCCCUUUCCCCCCUCGAGUGACUAUCGAUCAAUUGCAAUUAUGUGCCGCACAGUCUAACAGUAAUUUGAGUAUAGCGCUUAUUAUCGGUCUGGAUGUCCUGUAAUUGCAUCAAGACCGAUGUACUUGAUCCGAUGGCCGUGAGCUAGAAUGUAGCUCAUAUCACGCGAUGGAUGAUAACAAGUUCUUUCAGCGGAUUUUAAAUUUUCUGCCGCUUUGACAAGUUAGACCCAUGGAAAUGGAAAUACUGCCCUCGUAAUAUGCGGCUGAUCUCCGACGAAGUUGUUCAACGUAAACGGUAACUUGGUCGAUAGGUACCGAGUUCACGGUACUCAUGCCUAUCAACAACCGUCAACAAUCUCGAGGCUACGAGGAGAUGAAGACCGGCAUACAUACUCUAUUGAUAUUACAUAGCGUAGAUUUUACGAGGAAGCGAACGAUUUCGAAUUUAUUAGUUUUCUUUUGCAAACUUUCUUUUUUGAUGUAACAAUAUCGUCCAAUCAAUAAGGAAUAAAUCUGUUUCGUAUUUUACACGAUUUGUAAAGCUUAUUUUGCACGCGGUGGUUCUAUCGAGAGAACGUUCGUAAUUAUGCAAUAAGUAUUCUAACCGAAUAAUAUUAAAUUGUGUCCGUGGUUCAAUUGUAGGUCUUAAAAGAGGUAAAUGAGAACAUUAUAUCUCUCUAACUGGCAUCGAAUUAUCUAAUGGCGAGUAAUUUCCUUUAAUGAUUCACAGGAUAGCAUACGGUACAUCUACUUUAAAAACAAUCUCGAAAAUCUCAAAAACCAAGAACAAUUUGUGAAAAUUGGAUAUAACAAACGAACACGGUUGUCAAAAGUAUUACAGUAUAUGUAAAAGUUUAAAAAAGAAUUACACAUGUUCUAAAAUUUUGUUGAGAAAUUAUAAUAUAAAAAUAUAAGCUUUUUAAUGUGUGCAAGAGAAGGAUUUUUGAAAUACAAUAGCAUCGCAACCACAUGUUUCGUAUCAAUACAUUGCAUGCAAGACUGAGAUAUAUGAUACCGAUGCUUUCAUUAUCUAAAAAAAGCAUCGACGUUGCGAAAGGGAGAACUAGAAAAGAACUGAAAGGUGAAAGGGCAGACUAUUCAUCACAAAAGAUAGAAGCAAUAUUUACUGAAUGAACUUUUAAUAUUGCCAACGUUUAAAAUACAGUAAUGAAUGUCUUGGAUGUUUACUUACCUUAAGGCAAAGGUAUUCUCCAGCGAAACAAAUUAUGAAGGCUUCUAUCAUUAUGGCAGUGUAAGCGAAAA
Long non-coding RNA from Ooceraea biroi (clonal raider ant), 5743 nucleotides. RefSeq lists it as uncharacterized. NCBI's taxonomy places the organism in Eukaryota, Metazoa, Arthropoda, Insecta, Hymenoptera, Formicidae. The record is from RefSeq and is a predicted model, not a curated record.